RNAcentral lists this transfer RNA (77 nucleotides) under Solidesulfovibrio magneticus. RNAcentral describes it as "tRNA-Asp". It matches the Rfam family "tRNA". From Rfam's summary of the family: Transfer RNA (tRNA) molecules are approximately 80 nucleotides in length. Their secondary structure includes four short double-helical elements and three loops (D, anti-codon, and T loops). RNAcentral also lists the same sequence under 1 other name. The record is from RNAcentral. Lineage: Bacteria; Pseudomonadati; Thermodesulfobacteriota; Desulfovibrionia; Desulfovibrionales; Desulfovibrionaceae.
GGGGCUGUAGUUAAGUUGGUUAUAACGCCGGCCUGUCACGUCGGAGGGCGCGGGUUCAAGUCCCGUCGGCCCCGCCA